Molecule: long non-coding RNA, 530 nt
Organism: Malaclemys terrapin pileata
Lineage: Eukaryota; Metazoa; Chordata; Testudines; Emydidae
Exons: 4
Source: RefSeq, a predicted model, not a curated record
ACGCAGCAGGGCGGGGGUUAGGGGGAGCAGUCGGUAGCAGCACCUGCCCCUCGUACGGCAGGAGCGAGAAGUGCCAGCCUCUCUGCACAGAGGAGCAGCGUUCAGCCUGUGCCAGACGUGCUGGGGUGAUGGCAUGAGGACGUCACGGCCAAUGUGAUGCGCCAGCUCCGUAUCAUGCGGCACUUGCCCCAGGUGCCCGAGGCGCUGCAGGGCCUGUGCCUCUGAGGCCACCAGCAACUCCCGCUCCCUGCUGCAGUUUGGGAUGAGCGCGACCCAGGAAGGAGUGGACUAAAAGAUGGUCGCCUGGUCGAAGGGCUGAGUUCCCAGCCAAAUCAUGCUGGCGGGCGUGCUAGCCCAAGAAAUCUGUGACCCCAGGCCUUGAAGGAAGGGGCACCUAUCGGCUCUGAGCAAGGCCUGCCCAGAGAACAUGGAUUACGAGCUCUCGAUCCUGCUGACAGCACCCCCCAGCACAGACAAACUCCAGCACAUCUUGGAGGUGAGCAGAAUGGGGAGGGGCAGCAGGGGUUUUA